Molecule: transfer RNA, 67 nt
Filed under: Marmota marmota marmota (Alpine marmot)
Lineage: Eukaryota; Metazoa; Chordata; Mammalia; Rodentia; Sciuridae
Also listed under: 1 other name
Rfam family: tRNA
About the family: Transfer RNA (tRNA) molecules are approximately 80 nucleotides in length. Their secondary structure includes four short double-helical elements and three loops (D, anti-codon, and T loops). Further hydrogen bonds mediate the characteristic L-shaped molecular structure. tRNAs have two regions of fundamental functional importance: the anti-codon, which is responsible for specific mRNA codon recognition, and the 3' end, to which the tRNAs corresponding amino acid is attached (by aminoacyl-tRNA synthetases). tRNAs cope with the degeneracy of the genetic code in two manners: having more than one tRNA (with a specific anti-codon) for a particular amino acid; and 'wobble' base-pairing, i.e. permitting non-standard base-pairing at the 3rd anti-codon position.
Source: Rfam by way of RNAcentral
GGUUGUGGCUCAAUGGUAGAGCACUUGCCUAGCAUGCGUGAGGCACUGGGUUUGUUCCCCAGCGCCA